RNAcentral lists this ribosomal RNA (510 nucleotides) under uncultured bacterium. RNAcentral's name for it is "partial 16S ribosomal RNA". It matches the Rfam family "Bacterial small subunit ribosomal RNA", at positions 28 to 507 of the family's 1533-position model. The record is from RNAcentral.
GACGAACGCUGGCGGCGUGCUUAACACAUGCAAGUCGAACGAAGAGCGAUGGAAGCUUGCUUCUAUCAAUCUUAGUGGCGAACGGGUGAGUAACGCGUAAUCAACCUGCCCUUCAGAGGGGGACAACAGUUGGAAACGACUGCUAAUACCGCAUACGAUCCAAUCUCGGCAUCGAGGAUGGAUGAAAGGUGGCCUCUAUUUAUAAGCUAUCACUGAAGGAGGGGAUUGCGUCUGAUUAGCUAGUUGGAGGGGUAACGGCCCACCAAGGCGAUGAUCAGUAGCCGGUCUGAGAGGAUGAACGGCCACAUUGGGACUGAGACACGGCCCAGACUCCUACGGGAGGCAGCAGUGGGGAAUCUUCCGCAAUAGACGAAAGUCUGACGGAGCAACGCCGCGUGAGUGAUGACGGCCUUUGGGUUGUAAAGCUCUGUUAAUCGGGACGAAAGGUCCUCUUGCGAAUAGUUAGAGGAAUUGACGGUACCGGAAUAGAAAGCCACGGCUAACUACGUG